RNAcentral lists this non-coding RNA (179 nucleotides) under Anaerolineae bacterium. RNAcentral describes it as "6S RNA". It matches the Rfam family "6S / SsrS RNA". Rfam says of the family: E. coli 6S RNA was the first non coding RNA to be sequenced, but its function was unknown until recently. It consists of 184 nucleotides that fold into an extended hairpin structure with a large single-stranded internal bulge. The 6S RNA specifically associates with RNA polymerase holoenzyme containing the sigma70 specificity factor. Lineage: Bacteria; Bacillati; Chloroflexota; Anaerolineae. The record is from RNAcentral.
UCGCACCUGCCGUGUGCGUGAAGCCGGAACGGGGUUUUGAGCCAACAUGUUGAUAAGAAGGGAACCCUCGUCCAAAUGAUGAGGACGCGGUAGCCUUCGGGCAAGGUGAAAUCAUCUGGCAGGUUCCCACCUGCGUAAGCAGGGUCAAAACCAGCGGCGCACGGCACGGCGGGGACGCC